Molecule: ribosomal RNA, 678 nt
Filed under: Triticum aestivum (bread wheat)
Lineage: Eukaryota; Viridiplantae; Streptophyta; Magnoliopsida; Poales; Poaceae
Description: partial small subunit ribosomal RNA
Source: RNAcentral
AUGGUGCAGUGUCUCGACGGCGUGAAGCACCUCCUCGCGGUCCUCUUCAAGUGCUGCGACCUCGAGCUCAAGCAGCCGCGGGGGCUCGAGGACCCCCAGGUCCUCGCGCGGGAGACCGUCUUUAGCGUGAGCGAGGUCGAGGCGCUGUACGAACUCUUCAAGAAGAUAAGCAGCGCCGUGAUCGAUGACGGGCUGAUUAACAAGGAGGAGUUCCAAUUAGCGCUCUUCAAGACGAGCAAGAAGGAGAGCCUCUUCGCUGAUCGUGUAUUCGAUUUGUUCGACACAAAGCACAAUGGAAUUUUAGGGUUUGAAGAGUUUGCUCGUGCACUCUCAGUGUUUCACCCAAAUGCUUCAGUUGAAGAGAAAAUUGACUUUUCAUUCCAGCUAUAUGAUCUUAAGCAACAAGGCUUCAUUGAGAGACAGGAGGUUAAGCAGAUGGUUGUUGCCACACUUGCGGAGUCAGGAAUGAAUCUGUCUGAUGAAAUUAUAGAGAACAUAAUUGAUAAGACGUUUGAGGAGGCAGACACAAAGCAUGAUGGAAAAAUUGACAGGGAAGAGUGGCACAAUCUGGUUCUUCGACAUCCAUCUUUACUGAAGAACAUGACUCUCCAGUACCUCAAGGACAUCACCACAACAUUUCCAAGCUUCGUCUUCCAUUCUCAGGUUGACGAUACCUGA